UAAUACGGAGGGUCCAAGCGUUAUCCGGAAUCAUUGGGUUUAAAGGGUUCGCAGGCGGUUUAAUAAGUCAGUGGUGAAAUCUCGAGGCUCAACCUCGAAACUGCCAUUGAUACUGUUAGACUUGAAUACAGUUGGAGUAGGCGGAAUGUGUAGUGUAGCGGUGAAAUGCUUAGAUAUUACACAGAACACCGAUAGCGAAGGCAGCUUACUAAACUGUGAUUGACGCUCAUGAACGAAAGCGUGGGGAGCGAACAGGAUUAGAUACCCUGGUAGUCCACGCCGUAAACUAUGAUUACUCGAUAUUGGCGAUAUACGGUCAGUGUCUAAGCGAAAGUGAUAAGUAAUCCACCUGGGGAGUACGGUCGCAAGAUUG
RNAcentral lists this ribosomal RNA (373 nucleotides) under uncultured Bacteroidota bacterium. RNAcentral's name for it is "bacterial SSU rRNA". It matches the Rfam family "Bacterial small subunit ribosomal RNA", at positions 521 to 896 of the family's 1533-position model. Lineage: Bacteria; Pseudomonadati; Bacteroidota. The record is from RNAcentral.